RNAcentral lists this long non-coding RNA (1025 nucleotides) under Sinocyclocheilus grahami. Its description in RNAcentral is "lncRNA (ENSSGRG00000011677.1)". Lineage: Eukaryota; Metazoa; Chordata; Actinopteri; Cypriniformes; Cyprinidae. The record is from RNAcentral.
CAAAGCCUGUUGGUUUUUGUUUUGGCCCUCCUGUAAAAUUGGUGAAAUGUCACUUACGCCCCUUCUGGUUCUCACCCCUCGAUUUGGUCAUUUAAGCAACCUAUAAAAAUACAUGGCUUAAGCGUACAAAUAGUUUGGGGCCAUUUAACAAAGGUCCAAAAUAAAAUCUAAAAUGUUCUGCAGGAGAUGCUGAAUUAUAACCCAAAGCCCUUGAUGUGUUUCUGACAGCUGGCCUGUGAAAAGACGGUUUCAGUCAUUUACCAUGUCAUUAAGAGGACCAUUACUUACGCAAAAGAGGUGGCCGGUCCGAAUCGAAGGCCCAGUCCUGCUCAGCUUGAGUUGCGGAUGGUCCAGAGUAAAGCAGACAUUGAGGAUCCUGCCAUAGUUUUGAAUGCUCUAGUUCUGUAGUGCUUUAAUCUCAGACUAUGUACUAGACAGUAUGAAUGGCCUACAUUUAACAGCAAGAGUUUACAAUCACAAUCAUUUGGAUGGUGGACGGCUUAUAUUUUAUGCUGUAGUGUUAUAAAUUAUUUUAUAUCAACACUAAUGUUCUUAGAAUUAAAACGGUGACUUCUGGUACUUCAUAGUGCAUUCGUGCAGGUACUGCAUCCAAAAACUAACAUGGUACCUAAUGUUAUUAUGUUCACAUUCCUGCCAUAAUGUGCAUAUGACUAUAUCUAGCCAUUAUUAGUAUUUUAUUAAGAUUUAUGCAUGCGUCUAUCUGGAUUAAGUAUUUAUGAGGAUUUAUUAACAUUAAGAAAACGUCAUAUGAGUGUUAUCUAACAUUUGAUUUGAUUCGGUCUGUGUUAUAUGUAACAUAUUAUUCGAUCUGUUAGUCUUAUUUCAUCAGAACAACUGUACAAGCCCAGUCAGGCCAAGUGUAAGAAAAAAUGUCUAUUAAAUAAUAAAAAUCAAUUGUCUAUACUAAGAAUGUGCCUUGAAAAUAUAUAGUUUAUAUCAUACUAAAAAGUCUUUAUCUUUGUAAUAAUUAGCAAUAAUGGCCAUGGCAACUGACAUAUUUUGAC